AGUGAACGCUGGCGGUAGGCCUAACACAUGCAAGUCGAACGGCAGCACAGUAAGAGCUUGCUCUUACGGGUGGCGAGUGGCGGACGGGUGAGGAAUACAUCGGAAUCUACUUUUUCGUGGGGGAUAACGUAGGGAAACUUACGCUAAUACCGCAUACGACCUACGGGUGAAAGCAGGGGAUCUUCGGACCUUGCGCGAUUGUAUGAGCCGACGUCGGAUUAGCUAGUUGGCGGGGUAAAGGCCCACCAAGGCGACGAUCCGUAACUGGUCUGAGAGGGAGAUCAGCCACACUGGAAGUGAGACACGGCAGAGACACCGAGAGGGAGCAACAGUCGAGAAUCUUAGGCGAUGGACGAAAGGCUAAUACAGGAAUACCGCGUGAGUGAAGAACGACUUCGGGUGGUAAAGCCCUUUUGUUGGGAGAGAAAAAAAGCAGGUUAAUACCCCGCUAUAAUGACGGUACCCGAAGAAUAAGCACCGGCUAACUUCGUG
This 492-nucleotide ribosomal RNA is filed under the name uncultured bacterium. RNAcentral describes it as "partial 16S ribosomal RNA". It matches the Rfam family "Bacterial small subunit ribosomal RNA", at positions 29 to 507 of the family's 1533-position model. The record is from RNAcentral.